This 426-nucleotide ribosomal RNA is filed under the name uncultured prokaryote. Its description in RNAcentral is "bacterial SSU rRNA". It matches the Rfam family "Bacterial small subunit ribosomal RNA", at positions 355 to 796 of the family's 1533-position model. The record is from RNAcentral.
UGGGGAAUUUUCUGCAAUGGGCGAAAGCCUGACAGAGCAAUACUGCGUGAGGGAUGACGGCUUUCGAGUUGUAAACCUCUUUUAUCAAGGAAGAAGAUCUGACGUUACUUGAUGAAUAAGCAUCGGCUAACUCCGUGCCAGCAGCCGCGGUAAUACGGAGGAUGCAAGUGUUAUCCGGAAUCACUGGGCGUAAAGCGUCUGUAGGUGGUUUAGCAAGUCCGUUGUUAAAGGCUGAGGCUCAACCUUGGUAUGGCAAUAGAUACUACUAGACUAGAGGAUUGUAGAGGUAGAGGGAAUUUCCAGUGGAGCGGUGAAAUGCGUAGAGAUUGGAAAGAACACCAAAGGCGAAGGCACUCUACUGGGCAAUACCUGACACUGAGAGACGAAAGCUAGGGUAGCAAAUGGGAUUAGAUACCCCCGUAGUCC